AUACGGAGGGUGCAAGCGUUAUCCGGAAUCAUUGGGUUUAAAGGGUCCGUAGGCGGGCGAUUAAGUCAGAGGUGAAAUCCCACAGCUCAACUGUGGAACUGCCUUUGAUACUGGUUGUCUUGAGUUACAGUGAAGUAGAUAGAAUGUGUAGUGUAGCGGUGAAAUGCAUAGAUAUUACACAGAAUACCGAUUGCGAAGGCAGUCUACUAACUGUAUACUGACGCUAAUGGACGAAAGCGUGGGGAGCGGACAGGAGUAGAUACCCCAGUAGUCC
RNAcentral lists this ribosomal RNA (274 nucleotides) under uncultured bacterium. RNAcentral describes it as "partial 16S ribosomal RNA". It matches the Rfam family "Bacterial small subunit ribosomal RNA", at positions 523 to 796 of the family's 1533-position model. The record is from RNAcentral.